AGAGUUUGAUCCUGGCUCAGGAUGAACGCUGGCGGCAUGCCUAAUACAUGCAAGUCGAACGAAGUCUCUAGGAAGCUUGCUUCCAAAGAGACUUAGUGGCGAACGGGUGAGUAACACGUAGGUAACCUGCCCAUGUGUCUGGGAUAACUGCUGGAAACGGUAGCUAAAACCGGAUAGGUAUACGGAGCGCAUGCUCGGUAUAUUAAAGCACCCUUCAAGGUGUGAACAUGGAUGGACCUGCGGCGCAUUAGCUAGUUGGUGAGGUAACGGCCCACCAAGGCGAUGAUGCGUAGCCGGCCUGAGAGGGUAGACGGCCACAUUGGGACUGAGACACGGCCCAAACUCCUACGGGAGGCAGCAGUAGGGAAUUUUCGUCAAUGGGGGGAACCCUGAACGAGCAAUGCCGCGUGAGUGAAGAAGGUCUUCGGAUCGUAAAGCUCUGUUGUAAGUGAAGAACGGCUCAUAGAGGAAAUGCUAUGGGAGUGACGGUAGCUUACCAGAAAGCCACGGCUAACUACGUGCCAGCAGCCGCGGUAAUACGUAGGUGGCAAGCGUUAUCCGGAAUCAUUGGGCGUAAAGGGUGCGUAGGUGGCGUACUAAGUCUGUAGUAAAAGGCAAUGGCUCAACCAUUGUAAGCUAUGGAAACUGGUAGGCUAGAGUGCAGAAGAGGGCGAUGGAAUUCCAUGUGUAGCGGUAAAAUGCGUAGAUAUAUGGAGGAACACCAGUGGCGAAGGCGGUCGCCUGGUCUGUAACUGACACUGAGGCACGAAAGCGUGGGGAGCAAAUAGGAUUAGAUACCCUAGUAGUCCACGCCGUAAACGAUGAGAACUAAGUGUUGGAGGAAUUCAGUGCUGCAGUUAACGCAAUAAGUUCUCCGCCUGGGGAGUAUGCACGCAAGU
This 899-nucleotide ribosomal RNA is filed under the name human gut metagenome. RNAcentral's name for it is "bacterial SSU rRNA". It matches the Rfam family "Bacterial small subunit ribosomal RNA", at positions 8 to 893 of the family's 1533-position model. The record is from RNAcentral.